This 253-nucleotide ribosomal RNA is filed under the name uncultured bacterium. RNAcentral describes it as "partial 16S ribosomal RNA". It matches the Rfam family "Bacterial small subunit ribosomal RNA", at positions 524 to 776 of the family's 1533-position model. The record is from RNAcentral.
UACGGGGGGGGCAAGCGUUGUUCGGAAUUACUGGGCGUAAAGGGCGCGUAGGCGGCCUUCUAAGUCGGACGUGAAAUCCCCGGGCUCAACCCGGGAACUGCGUCCGAUACUGGAAGGCUUGAAUCCGGGAGAGGGAUGCGGAAUUCCAGGUGUAGCGGUGAAAUGCGUAGAUAUCUGGAGGAACACCGGUGGCGAAGGCGGCAUCCUGGACCGGUAUUGACGCUGAGGCGCGAAAGCCAGGGGAGCAAACGGG